This is a long non-coding RNA of Telopea speciosissima, 587 nucleotides long. RefSeq lists it as uncharacterized. The transcript has 4 exons. Lineage: Eukaryota; Viridiplantae; Streptophyta; Magnoliopsida; Proteales; Proteaceae. The record is from RefSeq and is a predicted model, not a curated record.
UGGAAGAUGAAUCAUAAAAUUCACUUCCUCUUCAUUUGGAACCAUUGCCUUUGCCAAGGGAGACACUUUGCACAUUCCCCACUGUGGGUACCAUCUUAAGGAUUGCUGGGUCUCCAGGCUAUAUAUGGAAAGCUUGGCCAACAUUUUCAAGGUUGUAGCCAAUGGGUGAGACUCCAUAACAUAAGUUGUCGAUCGAGCAUGGUCAGGGUUGUGGCUUGGUAUUCUGAUGCCUACUUCUAAUUAAGCUCGAUCCGGUCUUUGUCAAACAAGGAUGACUUUGUAAUUCAGCAUCAAAGGGAUUAUAAUGAUCGAUCGAUUAUCAACUUAUGGUCGUGUGCCUUUGUUGAGCUAUCAAUGUCCUCAGAUUACAGUGACAAAUUAUGAAGAAGAAUGUGCGACUUUGAUGGAUCUUCUCACUUCUUCAGAGGUGACGGCCGGAUAUAUUCAAGUGUGUGGUUCGCGUGGUAGCUGCAGACCCCUGGAAAAUUGAGGACUUCUGUACGUCCUCCUGGUGGGAUGCAUGAAUAUAUAGGAUCAGAUUUACGUAGCUUGGAGGACCCAACUGCAAGAAUUCAUGCUUAUCUAGA